GUAUAUAUAAUAUCUACGGCAGUACAUAUUCUAAAUUUGGAACGAUACAGAAAAGAUUAGCAUGACCUCUGCGCAAGGAUGACACGCAAAUUCGUGAAGCGUUCCAUAUUUUU
Non-coding RNA from Octopus bimaculoides (California two-spot octopus), 113 nucleotides. The record is from Rfam. NCBI's taxonomy places the organism in Eukaryota, Metazoa, Mollusca, Cephalopoda, Octopoda, Octopodidae.